This 380-nucleotide ribosomal RNA is filed under the name uncultured eukaryote. Its description in RNAcentral is "partial 18S ribosomal RNA". It matches the Rfam family "Eukaryotic small subunit ribosomal RNA", at positions 592 to 976 of the family's 1831-position model. The record is from RNAcentral.
CAAUAGCGUAUAUUAAAGUUGUUGCAGUUAAAAAGCUCGUAGUUGGAUUUGUGGUGUACUUCGGCGGCCCGUCACUAAGUGAUGGAGUCUGCUGAAGUCGCCAUCCUUGGGUGGAUCCUGUGUGGCAUUGAGUUGUCGUGCAGGGGAUGCCCAUCGUUUACUGUGAAAAAAUUAGAGUGUUCAAAGCAGGCUUAUGCCGUUGAAUAUAUUAGCAUGGAAUAAUAAGAUAGGACCUUGGUACUAUUUUGUUGGUUUGCGCACCAAGGUAAUGAUUAAUAGGGACAGUUGGGGGUACUCGUAUUUCAUUGUCAGAGGUGAAAUUCUUGGAUUUUUGAAAGACGAACUACUGCGAAAGCAUUUACCAAGGAUGUUUUCAUUAA